UCCAUGAUAGUUUAGUGGUUAAGACAGUGCUUUCACUGUCAGAGGCCCAGGUUUGAUCCCUGGUCGGGGAA
This 71-nucleotide transfer RNA is filed under the name Bos taurus (domestic cattle). It matches the Rfam family "tRNA". From Rfam's summary of the family: Transfer RNA (tRNA) molecules are approximately 80 nucleotides in length. Their secondary structure includes four short double-helical elements and three loops (D, anti-codon, and T loops). RNAcentral also lists the same sequence under 3 other names. The record is from Rfam by way of RNAcentral. Lineage: Eukaryota; Metazoa; Chordata; Mammalia; Artiodactyla; Bovidae.